This 497-nucleotide ribosomal RNA is filed under the name uncultured bacterium. RNAcentral describes it as "partial 16S ribosomal RNA". It matches the Rfam family "Bacterial small subunit ribosomal RNA", at positions 28 to 507 of the family's 1533-position model. The record is from RNAcentral.
GAUGAACGCUGGCGGCGUGCCUAAUACAUGCAAGUCGAGCGAACAGACGAGGAUCUUGCUCCUCUGACGUUAGCGGCGGACGGGUGAGUAACACGUGGAUAACCUACCUAUAAGACUGGGAUAACUUCGGGAAACCGGAGCUAAUACCGUAUAAUAUAUUGAACCGCAUGGUUCAAUAGUGAAAGACGGUUUUGCUGUCACUUAUAGAUGGAUCCACGCCGCAUUAGCUAGUUGGUAAGGUAACGGCUUACCAAGGCGACGAUGCGUAGCCGACCUGAGAGGGUGAUAGGCCACAUGGGAGCUGAGACACGGUCAAGACUCCUACGGGAGGCAGCAGAAGGGAAUCUGACGCAAUGGGCGAAAGCCUGACGGAGCAACGCCGCGUGAGUGACGAAGGUCUUCGGAGCGUAAAACUCUGUUAUUAGGGAAGAACAAAUGUGUAAGUAACUAUGCACGUCUUGACGGUACCUAAUCAGAAAGCCACGGCUAACUACGUG